This 1207-nucleotide unclassified non-coding RNA is filed under the name Apis dorsata (giant honeybee). RNAcentral describes it as "palmitoyltransferase ZDHHC7, transcript variant X3". The record is from RNAcentral. Lineage: Eukaryota; Metazoa; Arthropoda; Insecta; Hymenoptera; Apidae.
GUAGGAGAAAAAAUAUACAAUGAAGUAGAGAAUGUCACGUGGUUAUUUAAUAACAGUAAUAUCAUGGCGGCCAGUUUAGGCUAGUCAAUAAUGAUCAGUAUUGGUCAGAAAAUUUAUUGUUUGUGUUGUUUUAAGUGCAAUUGUAGAAUAAACAAACUUGAACUUAAAUGGAAUUCUUAAAAAAUGAAUUCGUAUAAUGUAAAUUCAAUGGAAAAUGAAAUAAUAUGAAAUCGUUUUAAUCUAUGACGAUAUUUCAUAUAUUUAUUAAUAAAGAGUAUGGAAUAAAUAAAAAUGUUUGUAAAAGACCCUUGUGGGAUCGUGUGUAUCAUAAUUACAUACGUUGCUGUCUUUUAUGCAGAUUACGUCGUCGUACGUUGGGUUAUCCUGCAUAGUUUACAAGACAGUCUAUGGGGUCCUUUUCAUGUUGUGGCUUUCAACACCAUUGUAUUAUUAUUGAUAACAUCACAUUUGAAGGCAGUCUGCAGUGAUCCUGGUGUUGUGCCACUACUUCAAAGUCGUAUGGACUUUUCUGACAUUCAUACAGAUAAUCCAGAAACAAAAAUUGAAUGUGAUGAAAGAGACAGUUGGACUGUUUGUACUAGAUGUGAAACAUACAGACCACCUAAAGCAUGUCACUGUAGAAUUUGUAAACGAUGUGUUAGGAGAAUGGAUCAUCAUUGCCCAUGGAUAAACAACUGUGUUGGAGAACGAAAUCAAAAGUACUUUAUUCAAUUUCUGAUCUAUGUUGGAAUAUUGGCCCUCUAUGCUCUAGGCUUGGUGAUAACCUCAUGGAUUUUAGAAUGUUCUCGAUGCAGUAAUGAUAUAGCUGUCAAACAGAGUCGCAUCUUACACUGUGUUAUAUUGGUAUUGGAAUCAGCACUGUUUGGUAUGUUUGUCAUCGCAAUGCUUGUAGACCAAUUUCAAGGUAUUCUGGGAGAAGAAAAUAUAAUGGAACAUAUGCAGAAUAGUCAUCAUUAUAAAAGAAACAGUUCACGUACUUUGAUUUUACUUUCCGAGGUUUGUGGUAAAAGCCAUCCAAUUUUAUGGAUGUUUCCUUGCCAAAACCCACCACGUUAUACCUUCCGAAAAGAUGCGUACCUGAUAGAUCAUGAAGUUUAGAUAAAUGUUUGAUUGCACAUUAUGAAGUAAAAGCUUUUGUUAUGGCUUUGUUUGCCAUAAGUACUUUUUUUUAUAUUUUUUAUUUACU